This 406-nucleotide ribosomal RNA is filed under the name uncultured Anaerolineae bacterium. Its description in RNAcentral is "bacterial SSU rRNA". It matches the Rfam family "Bacterial small subunit ribosomal RNA", at positions 355 to 776 of the family's 1533-position model. The record is from RNAcentral. Lineage: Bacteria; Bacillati; Chloroflexota; Anaerolineae.
UGAGGAAUAUUGCACAAUGGGCGAAAGCCUGAUGCAGCAACGCCGCGUGAGGGACGAAGGCCUUCGGGUUGUAAACCUCUUUUCUGAGGGACGAGACAAGGACGGUACCUCAGGAAUAAGUCUCGGCUAACUACGUGCCAGCAGCCGCGGUAAGACGUAGGAGGCGAGCGUUAUCCGGAUUUACUGGGCGUAAAGCGCACGCAGGCGGCUUCGUUAGUCGGAUGUGAAAGCUCCUGGCUUAACCGGGAGAGGCCAUUCGAUACUGCGAGGCUUGAGGUUGGAAGAGGGGUGUGGAAUUCCCGGUGUAGUGGUGGAAUGCGUAGAUAUCGGGAGGAACACCUGUGGCGAAAGCGGCACCCUGGUCCACACCUGACGCUGAGGUGCGAAAGCGUGGGUAGCAAACAGG